RNAcentral lists this ribosomal RNA (253 nucleotides) under uncultured bacterium. RNAcentral's name for it is "partial 16S ribosomal RNA". It matches the Rfam family "Bacterial small subunit ribosomal RNA", at positions 524 to 776 of the family's 1533-position model. The record is from RNAcentral.
UACGAAGGGGGCUAGCGUUGCUCGGAAUCACUGGGCGUAAAGCGCACGUAGGCGGAUCUUUAAGUCAGGGGUGAAAUCCUGGAGCUCAACUCCAGAACUGCCUUUGAUACUGGGGAUCUCGAGUCCGGGAGAGGUGAGUGGAACUGCGGGUGUAGAGGUGAAAUUCGUAGAUAUUCGCAAGAACACCAGUGGCGAAGGCGGCUCACUGGCCCGGUACUGACGCUGAGGUGCGAAAGCGUGGGGAGCGAACAGG